Molecule: ribosomal RNA, 1593 nt
Filed under: Vorticellides sp.
Lineage: Eukaryota; Ciliophora; Oligohymenophorea; Sessilida; Vorticellidae
Description: SSU rRNA
Rfam family: Eukaryotic small subunit ribosomal RNA
Source: RNAcentral
AAUCUGGUUGAUCCUGCCAGUAGUCAUAUGCUUGUCUCAAAGAUUAAUCCAUGCAUGUGUAAGUAUAAGUAUUGUACAGCGAAACUGCGAAUGGCUCAUUAAAUCAGUUAUUAUUUAUUUGAUAAUCGAAAGUUACAUGGAUAACCGUGACAAAUUACAGCUAAUACAUGCAGUCAGACCUGGUCCAAGGGUCGUAGUUAUUAGUAUUAAACCAUUUCCGCAAGGAGUGUGAUGAAUCAUAAUAACCGAACGAAUCGCCUGUUGUGCGAUAAAUCAUUCAAGUUUCUGCCCUAUCAGCUUUGGAUGGUAGUGUAUUGGACUACCAUGGCAAUCACGGGUAACGGAGAAUUAGGGUUCGAUUCCGGAGAGGGAGCCUGAGAAACGGCUACCACAUCUACGGAAGGCAGCAGGAGCGAAAAUUGCCCAAUCCUGACACGGGGAGGCAGUGACAAGAAAUAUCAACUCUUGGAUUUCUAAGAAGUGAAAUGAGGAUAAUUUACAACCCUUACCGAAAGCAAUUGGAGGGCAAGUCUGGUGCCAGCAGCCGCGGUAAUUCCAGCUCCAAUAGCGUAUAUUAAAGUUGUUGCAGUUAAAAAGCUCGUAGUUGAAGUUCUGGCUGUUCGAUCCUCGAGCUCUGUAGCCGAGGAUUCGGCAGCCAUCCGCCUGCAAAUAUUAGUUCGCCUUUUACCGGGUGGCUAUAUGAGCAGGCAAUUUACCUUGAGAAAAACAGAGUGUUCCAGGCAGGUUUGUCCGGAAUGCGUUAGCAUGGAAUAAUAGAAUAUGACUGAAGUCGAUUUAUUGGUUUGAGGCUUUAGUAAUGAUUAAUAGGAACAGUCGGGGGCAUUGGUACUUGACAGUCAGAGGUGAAAUUCUAGGAUUUGUCAAAGACUAACAAAUGCGAAAGCAUUUGCCAAGGAUGUUUUCAUUAAUCAAGAACGAAAGUUAGGGGAUCAAAGACGAUCAGAUACCGUCCUAGUCUUAACUAUAAACUAUACCGACUCGGAUUCGGAUGAAUCAAAAAGUUCAUUCGGGACCGUAGGAGAAAUCAAAGUUUUUGGGUUCUGGGGGAAGUAUGGUCGCAAGGCUGAAACUUAAAGGAAUUGACGGUUUUGCACCACCAUGGAGUGGAGUCUGCGGCUUAAUUUGACAACACUGGGAAACUCAUCAGGGCAAGAAGAUUUUAGGAUUGACAGAUUGAGAGUUCUUUCUUGAUUGGUCUAGUGGUGGUGCAUGGCCGUUCUUAGUUGGUGGAGUGAUUUGUCUGGUUAAUUCCGUUAACGAACGAGACCUUAACCUGCUAACUAGUACGUCGAUGAAUAAUCGUCGUUACUUCUUAGAGGGACUAUGUGAUGUAAUCACAUGGAAGUUUGAGGCAAUAACAGGUCUGUGAUGCCCUUAGAUGUCCUGAGCCGCACGCGUACUACAAUGGUGCUUUCAGCAAGCUUUUCCUGAUCCGAAAGGAUUUGGGUAAUCUUUUUAGUGAGCACCGUGCUUGGGAUAGAUCUUUGUAAUUAUGGAUCUUGAACUAGGAAUUCCUAGUAAGCACGAUUCAUCAUAUCGUGCUGAUUACGUCCCUGCAAAAUGUACACACCG